UAAGUAUAUGAUUGAGAGUCAAUACCUA
RNAcentral lists this small RNA (28 nucleotides) under Bombyx mori (domestic silkworm). Its description in RNAcentral is "ovarian small RNA-19380". Lineage: Eukaryota; Metazoa; Arthropoda; Insecta; Lepidoptera; Bombycidae. The record is from RNAcentral.